Molecule: transfer RNA, 58 nt
Filed under: Clostridiales bacterium
Lineage: Bacteria; Bacillati; Bacillota; Clostridia; Eubacteriales
Description: tRNA-Asn
Rfam family: tRNA
About the family: Transfer RNA (tRNA) molecules are approximately 80 nucleotides in length.
Source: RNAcentral
UAGCUCAGUCGGUAGAGCAUGCGGCUGUUAACCGCAGGGUCGUUGGUUCGAGUCCAAC